AGAUUGAACGCUGGCGGCGUGCCUAACACAUGCAAGUCGAGCGGUAACAGGUGUAGCAAUACAUGCUGACGAGCGGCGAACGGGUGAGUAAUGCUUUGGAAUCUUCCCAGUAGUGGGGAAUAACCAGUCGAAAGAUUGGCUAAUACCGCAUACGUCUGUAAAGGGAAAGCGGGGGCUCGUAAGACCUCGCGCUAUUGGAUGAGCCAAAGUCGGAUUAGCUAGUUGGUGGGGUAAUGGCCUACCAAGGCGACAAUCCGUAGCUGGUCUGAGAGGACGACCAGCCACACCGGAACUGAGACACGGUCCGGACUCCUACGGGAGGCAGCAGUGGGGAAUAUUGGACAAUGGGGGAAACCCUGAUCCAGCAACGCCGCGUGCAGGAGAAGGUUUUCGGAUCGUAAACUGCUUUUCUCGGGGAAGAGGAACGGACGGUACCCGAGGAAUCGAGCCCCGGCUAACUACGUGCCAGCCAGCCGC
RNAcentral lists this ribosomal RNA (477 nucleotides) under uncultured bacterium. RNAcentral's name for it is "SSU rRNA". It matches the Rfam family "Bacterial small subunit ribosomal RNA", at positions 26 to 518 of the family's 1533-position model. The record is from RNAcentral.